This 4426-nucleotide long non-coding RNA is filed under the name Podarcis lilfordi (Lilford's wall lizard). Lineage: Eukaryota; Metazoa; Chordata; Lepidosauria; Squamata; Lacertidae. The record is from RNAcentral.
CUCUGAGCAUGAACAGAAAGCUGUCUUGGGACUAUUGUGGACUCUUGGCACCCUUCCCAGGAAAGGGGGGGGUGAGAAGCCAAGGGGUUUUCAGCAUGUUCAGAUAUGUUUCAAUCUCUUGUUCUGGCAUGGUUCCCGGACAGAAAGUAAGUUGCAAUGUGGUUCUUUAGCAAGGCCAGAAGACAUGAGAAAGGCCUGAGAAACAAUGGACUGUUCUCUACCUUUGUUACAGCAGAGCGGAAUGUUUCUGAUGCUUAGCUGCUGAGAAAAUGAUUUUGAAAAGUUUUGAGAAGCUUUGAGCCUGCUUUGGUGGGGGGGUGACUUCGGGCCUAGGUGAGGUCACCUGUCCUCACCUUCCUUCAAUCCCACUUUAUCACUACGCUAAGGAGUCUCAAAGCAGCCAACUAUCUCCGUUCCCUUCCUCCCCCACAACGAACACUCUGUGAGGUGAGUGAGGCUGAGAUACUUCAGAGAAAUGUGACUAGCCCAAGGUCACCCAGCAGCUGCAUGUGGAGGAGUGAGGAAGUGAACCCGGUUCACCAGAUUACGAGUCUACUGCUCUUAACCACUACACCACACUGCAGAGGAACAUCUGAGGUCACUGAAAGAGUCAAAAUGGCUUUAGGACUGUUUUCCUGUACUGUUUCAGACAUGUGGUUUAUAUAUUUGUGUAUGUGUUUGCCUGGUGCAUUUAUGAACAUUUGUUUUAUGUCUUAGAUCUUAUAAUCUCAUAACAGAAACUAACUGAAAGUGCAUCCAAGUCGCAAUGCAGACAGAAAAAUGCUGGUUGCCGAUAGAAGCUAAUCUUCUUGCCACACACAACUUUGGAUCCUUGGUCCAAUGUCAAGCUGCUGAUUCAUCCUGUUCCCCUGCUCCCAUUUUGCUCUGCAGUUUAAGAACGAAUUUGAAAGUCUCCCACUUUGCUGCUGGCUGGAGUUAACGGUGAGAAGUCAUGGAAGUAGAUGCUGCAACCAGUACUGAAAGAGUUUUGCUUGGGGAGGUCGCUGCACUACAUGCCAAUUUAUUUUGUUAUGAAAUCUUGUGUUUCUGGCCUAUGUUCCAGAAGACCCAUGGCACUAAGUGGGAAGGAAGCUAUGCAUUAUUUGCCCAAGCAACAACUGCCUCUACCCCUCCCUUUCUCAGAUAUCUUUAAAGGGAGAUGGAGUAUUAUUUUAUCCAGAGUUCUGGAGGGGAGAAGUUGCGUUUGGGUGGUAUCUGUGUGAGCCAGGAUGGAAUGCAGGGCCUCAGAUGGGGAAUCAAGGAGAGACGCCUUCUAAAUUUAAACAGCCUGUUCCCAAAAGUAAUUCUGGUUGUACAGUUACAUAAAGUCCAGUGGCUGACAGAUGAAAAACAGGCACGCUGCUGUAACACUCCCAUCUACGAAACAUGAGCCCCACAUUACUGGGGAUGAACUCCUCCAGUGUUUCAUCUUCAUUUACUGUAAUACAGCUGCUUUCUUCACUCUCAUCCAACCCACGCACCCUCCCAGCAAUGGGGCGGGGGGAGAAUGAGAUUAUGUAUGUUGUUUGUUAUCGUUAAAAAUCUAUUUGGCCCAGAGAAGGAGGAGUGGUGUGUGUGUGAGUGUGUGUGUGUGUGAAAUCAACGUCAGAUAAAAUGUUUCCACAAACCAAAGUAGACCUCAGAAACUGAGAAACUAGCAAGCUGUGUGCAUUCCAUGGCGCCUUAGGGUAGUGAUGUGUGAACAUGUCUUAAUCCUUCUGCUAUUCAUUUUCAUCCUGUGUUUUUUUCAUUCUGCAAUUGGUCUGUUUUGCACAAGAGUUUCUUCCAUUCACUGACACAGAAAUAUACCUUCUUCUCCACCUUUUUUUUUGUUUUGCAAAUAUUGCGGGUACAUGAUAGACCUUCAUAUCUCAGUCAUCAACAGGUACUGUUACAAAUCUAUUGCCUUCUUAGUAUGUUCCCUUUCAAACAUAAUUCAUUUCCAGAGUGGCAGCCCUGUUAAGUCUUUUGCAGGGAAAACAACACAGAUUCUUCUGGCACCUAAAAUACAAAGUGAAACGGCUAAUGGCCCAUCACAAAGCCAUUAGCAACUGCCAUCCUAAUCACAUCUACUCAGAAUUAAAUCCCAUGGAAUUGAAUUGAGCUGACCCCCAGGAAAGUGGGGCUAGGACUGCAGCCUUGCUUACUUGAUUUCAUUGUUCAAUCUAAACCAGGCAUGUCCAAAGUCCGUUUUGGGGGCCUAAUCCAGCCCGCUAUUCGGUUUAAUCUGGCCCCUGUGGCAGUUUUUUUCGUAGGUAAAAUCCUAAAAAAACCUCAACAACUUCAACCCUUAAAAAAGCUCAAGAACCUCAAUCCUAAAAAAAGUAAAAAAAGGUUAACAACUUUGGUUGGCCCAUUGGUCGGCCCUCAUGGCCCUUCACUUCAUCAAAUCUGGCCCUCUUUGAAAAAGUUUGGACACCACUGGCUAAAGUCUGUGCUAUUUUUCUAGAAAAAGAGGUGCCGGAGCUCACAAUGAACUUCUCCCUUGUUCUCUAAGAAUGGCAAUGGACUCCGAGAGGUGGGCUGUGGCUGAAAAAAAGCAUUCAUAAAGAAUAGUUGACAUUUCGUUCAUGCCCUGGAUUGUAGGCAUAUUAAAUAUUUUACAAGCACUCUAAUGUGACUUAUUAAAGUCAUUUUUGUAAUACAGUGGUACCUCGGGUUACGAACUUAAUUCGUUCCGGAGGUCCGUUCUUAACCCGAAACCGUUCUUAACCUGAGGCGUGCUUUCACUAAUGUGGCCUCUUACUGCUGCCGCGCCACCGGCAUGCAAUUUCCAUUCUCAUCCUGGGGCAAAGUUCGCAACCCAGAGCAACUACUUCCGGGUUAGCGGCGUUUGUAACCCGAAGGGUUUGUCACCUGAGGUACUUCAUAAAUGUGUAUUUUAUGUAGGAAAUAGCCAUGUUUGCCUCUGCUGAAACAUAACGCUUGAAUGAACUUAUACUUUAAAUAUUUGUAGUAAAUAUGACUUUAUGUUUGACACCUUGAAACCCUCAGGUUUUAACUGAAGAGGAACAUAGGCAGAGUCAACAGGUUACUCCAUACUCUCCAACAUUUAUCCGAUGAAAACAGUCCUAAGGAAAAGCGGGAUAUUGAAAAACAGGAUAGCUUCUGUAAAUGCGGGACUGUCCCUGGAAAACAGGGACACUUGGAGGGUCUGCAUGUUUGUGUGCAUGUUGUGUACAGCCCUAUUAUGUUAUGUACGCUAUGGCAGACUUGUCAUUGCAGAGGAGAGAGAUCAAGUGAAGCACUUUAUCAGCCAGGAUGAGAGACUGGGCGGAACGCAGACAGAGGACACUGGAAGCAGCAGUGUGCAGAGGAAAAGGGUCCCCAGCCAGAGUGUUGCUGGUGUAGACAGGCAGCAUUUUUCGCAGAAGGGGCUUCGUAGCAUUCCCUGACUGUGGACAGUGUGUAAGUGUAAACACCAGCAAAAACAGCCAUCCCCUUGCUAUGCUCGCAGACGCUGGGCACAGCACAACCUCUGGCCGCAAACCUUUCAUUCGCAGCAACUGCAAAGCAAAAAAGAAGAGUCAGAGUCAUGUCUCAUGGAUCCUUCAUUUGCUUUUGUUUUUCUUUAAUCUCCACACACGGCGUUCUGUUCUGAGCUCUGUUAAGCUCCGGUCAGUGUCAUUGCCUUGGUGUAAGCCAAAACCUUCGGUACAAUUAAAUCUGAUCUACUUUGCUGUAAAGCCAAUGAAUUUUCUUUGGGGUCUUUCUAGUUCUCUUGAACUCCCUGGACUUCUAGGCCCCAUCUGGGCUAUCCAUUUUAAGCAGUAUCGAGUCGCUUUAAACAUCCACAGAUUCCUCCAAAGAAUCCUGGAAACUGUAGUUUGUUAAGGGUGCUGAAAGGAGACUCGUGUCCCCUCAAUUCCCAGAAUAGUUUAACAAUCCAUCCCUCUUUUCAGGAAACUCUGGGAACUGUAUCUGGGAAGUAGAGGGAAUAAGGAGUUUGCUAAGAACUCUCAGCACCCUUAACAAACUACAGUUUCCAGGAUUCUUUGGAAGAAGCCAGGAAUGUUUAUAGUGCCAAAAGAUAGACGUAAUAUAUUACAAGGACAGGAAGAAACAUUACGGACAGAAUAACUGCCACACACAGGAAGAACAAGGAGAGACUUUGAAUGCUUCACCUGUAGCUUUAUAAAUCAUUGAAUGUGUCAAUACGAAUGGAAGUCAUUAAAACUGCAGUUGCGGUAUAAGGGAUUGUUAUUUUGACUGGAGUGUAACUGAAAUUUAUAAGAUUUUGGAACGUGGAAAUAAAGUAAAUCAUCCACCCAUCAAUUCUAGCAUGUGGGGUAGGGUGGAGCACCCAAAUUGUACAAUUUGGCAUCUGAAUGAUUGGUAUUACUAAUUGUAUUAUAAUUUGGCAUUGUUAUAAUGAGGCUGUUAUUGUAAUUGAAAACUUAUAAAAAUUAUUAUCAAAAAAGAGUAC